GAAAAUAGAAUUUGCCUUGUGACCUUGAAGUCUGUUUGGAUCCGGGAAGGUGACUGGCGUCUGGAACACACUCUCUGGGCAGGAACUGUUUGCGCGCGGCCCGCAUCCGGGAUUUCAGGAAGACUCUUCAUGACAGAUGUCGGCUGACUGCCACGUGCGAGGCUAUUCAGACUGUGAGCUCCCCGCGGGCAGGGUGCCCAGCAGAAUCCCAGCACAUACAGGCCCUUCCUUGGUGGGAUGGAUGCUCUGAUAAGAGGGAAUGAGGGGGAACCAGGGCUGUCUGUUCCUGAGAGCAAGGAGCCUUUGAUUCUGGAGGAGCGGUGCGUUCCCGACUUUGAUCUCCCACAAAUCAGGUCUUUGCACACUCCCAAGAGAACAUUUUACAUUUUAAAGGCUCAGUGCUGGCUGUCUCUUUCCCUCACCUGUGGAGCUGCUCUUCCCCCCCUACUGCUCAUCCUUCCAGCAAAACGGUCCCUGGGCAGCCUGCCCAAGACAGAGCCAGUGAGAAUGGGCUACCCAAGAGGGCUCCGGAGUGAAUGAACGAGCUAGUGGCAGCCCAGAGCAGGGGCGACACCGUCUCUCCAUUCCCUGGAGCCGAGGGGAGCAACCACUGUUAAGGGCAGAAGAGCCAGAGUAACAGAAACUGGGAAGCCCUGCUUGCCUGCACCAGUAGCAUGGGGAACUCUUUAAAGCCCUUGCAAAGCUCUGCCACUGAGGCUUUAACACUCAGUGGGGUGGGCUGGGUGGGUAAGGCCACUUCCACUUUGCAAGUGACAGAACAAAAACCCAAAGUGAGUUACCUGAGCCAUGGUGGGUUGGACAGAUCCAAGACGAUAACCCACGCUUGAGGCUCCAUACGCUGUGCUCCGUGACCAUCCCAAAGGAUCUCGAGGGAAAGACCCCAAACAGGCUUUCCAGGGCAGGGCCAGCCAGGGUAGAGAAGAGGGCCAAGCUUUUGGGGCUUCAGACUCCAUGGACACAGGGCAUUGAACUUGGGAGUUUGAAGCGGAUUCCUGUCUCGGUUUCCCGCGUAUCAGCAGUUGGAAUCGUGAACAAAUGACAGCGACUUCCUGAACUGCUUCUGGAAUAAAACCUGUCUGCCUGUAUCA
This 1109-nucleotide long non-coding RNA is filed under the name Sus scrofa (pig). RNAcentral describes it as "lncRNA (ENSSSCG00050052751.1)". The record is from RNAcentral. Lineage: Eukaryota; Metazoa; Chordata; Mammalia; Artiodactyla; Suidae.